GUCCUUUUGAUUUUUAUUUAAGGUCUGACCUGCCCACUGAUUUAUUUAAUGGCCGCGGUAUUUUGACCGUGCAAAGGUAGCAUAGUAAUUUGUCUUUUAAUUGAAGGCUUGUAUGAAUGGUUGGACGAGAAAACUACUUUCUUUAUAAUAAAAUUGUUAAUUUUAUUUUUUAGUUAAAAAGCUAAAAUGUUGUUGUAGGACGAGAAGACCCUAUAGAACUUUAUAUUUAUUUUUUUAUUAAUAUUUUUGGUUAAUAAUAUAUUGUAUCUUUAUAAAUAUUUUGUUGGGGCGACAAGAAAAUUUAUUUAACUUUUUUUAUUAAUUUCAUUAAUUAAUGUAUAAAUGAUCCUUUAUUAUGGAUAAUUAGAAUAAGUUACCUUAGGGAUAACAGCGUAAUUUUUUUGGAGAGUUCUUAUCGAUAAAAAAGUUUGCGA
This 434-nucleotide ribosomal RNA is filed under the name Callicorixa producta. RNAcentral's name for it is "partial large subunit ribosomal RNA". It matches the Rfam family "Archaeal large subunit ribosomal RNA", at positions 1921 to 2592 of the family's 2987-position model. The record is from RNAcentral. Lineage: Eukaryota; Metazoa; Arthropoda; Insecta; Hemiptera; Corixidae.